This 497-nucleotide ribosomal RNA is filed under the name uncultured bacterium. RNAcentral's name for it is "partial 16S ribosomal RNA". It matches the Rfam family "Bacterial small subunit ribosomal RNA", at positions 28 to 507 of the family's 1533-position model. The record is from RNAcentral.
GAUGAACGCUGGCGGCGUGCCUAAUACAUGCAAGUCGAGCGAACAGACGAGGAGCUUGCUCCUCUGACGUUAGCGGCGGACGGGUGAGUAACACGUGGAUAACCUACCUAUAAGACUGGGAUAACUUCGGGAAACCGGAGCUAAUACCGGAUAAUAUAUUGAACCGCAUGGUUCAAUAGUGAAAGACGGUUUUGCUGUCACUUAUAGAUGGAUCCGCGCCGCAUUAGCUAGUUGGUAAGGUAACGGCUUACCAAGGCGACGAUGCGUAGCCGACCUGAGAGGGUGAUCGGCCACACUGGAACUGAGACACGGUCCAGACUCCUACGGGAGGCAGCAGUAGGGAAUCUUCCGCAAUGGGCGAAAGCUUGACGGAGUAACGCCGCGUGAGUGAAGAAGGUCUUCGGAUCGUAAAACUCUGUUAUUAGGGAAGAACAAAUGUGUAAGUAACUAUGCACGUCUUGACGGUACCUAAUCAGAAAGCCACGGCUAACUACGUG